GUCCCUCGGGGCGGCGGGCUAACGCGGCCGCUUUGUUCUUCGCUUCUCGGCUCGAGGCCCCAGUCUCGACCGCCGACCGCCUCGGAACCGGGCUGCAUCCGAGCUGCCACGCGGCGUGUGAACCUUGAAGCGCGGCCGGGGAAUCCGCAAGGCGCCGACUCUCUUCCUCCUUGCAAGCCCUUCGAAAGUGAGAUUUCUCACCCCACCCUUGCAGGGUGGAGAGAACACGUUUCAAAAAGGGGAUGCCUAGAACUCAGCCGUGGGAAGUGCCUGUCUAAAGCCUUGUGCUGGUGCCAGUAGCAAACCCGUGCGCGUGCUCGGCUUUGAGCGAUCAUGGAGCUCUGCAAAUAGCUCAACUGCAGAGCGUGCCCCUUAGAGCUCCUGUGCUGCUGGGAGGCCUCAUAAAGGUGCCAAAACCAGGUGUCCCCAGCGGUUGGCCUCUUUAAAAAGAAAAAAAAAAAAAGGCGGAGUGGGAUGUCCUUGACGUGCUGAAAGACGGAGUAGAAUGAGACGUUGGUUUUCAUUGGCUGGCCAUUAAGCACGCACUGCGCAACUGUUUUCCAGAUACGGGUUUAUAGCCCAUUAUUUAUAUCGGAGCCAUAAACUUGAACAAUAGAUUGGAAUAUCUUAUUUUUGCCUGUUGAGAAUAUCUCCCAUUUAACUUCUUUUGAAAGUUCAGAUGAGUAUAUAAAUAAUACAUUGACCCAGUAGAAUCUAUUGUGUGCGUUCCAGCGUCAUUUCAAAGAGCUAUUGUUUUUCUGAUUUCAAAAGAAAUAUUUAAAUGUGCAAUAUGAAGAUGAAAACUAUCCUGCACACCUCACAAAACUAAGGUGUAUGUGUGUGAGUGGGAGCAUAAUGUGAGACGCCUUUGUCUUCUAAGCCACCUCUAGGCUCACACUGACUAGCAAGCUUUGCUUGUCCCUUUCAGUUGCAAUGUUGCUGUCACUGUCACCCUAUAAUCUCUUUAAUUGGCAGUUGCAGACCAAGGGCCCACCCUUCCUUUAAUGACAGCUGGCUGAAGCCUUCCAACUUUAGUUGUCCCAAGUCACACUGGCUGACUUAUAAAGCCAUAUCUGUGGCCGGGCGUGGUGGCUCAUGCCUGUAAUCCCAGCACUUUGGGAGGCUGAGCCAGGCAGAUCACCUGAGGUCAGGAGUUCGAGACUAGCCUGACCAACAUGGUGAAACCCCAUCUCUACUAAAAAAAAUACAAAAAUUAGUCGGGCAUGGUGGUGCGUGCCUGUAAUCCCAGCUACUCG
Molecule: long non-coding RNA, 1256 nt
Filed under: Homo sapiens (human)
Lineage: Eukaryota; Metazoa; Chordata; Mammalia; Primates; Hominidae
Description: non-protein coding lnc-UQCRHL-1:7
Source: RNAcentral